GACGAACGCUGGCGGCGUGCUUAACACAUGCAAGUCGAACGAUGAAGCUGGAGCUUGCUCCGGUGGAUUAGUGGCGAACGGGUGAGUAACACGUGAGCAAUCUGCCCUUGACUCUGGGAUAACUGCGGGAAACUGUAGCUAAUACCGGAUACUUUCACUGGAAGGCAUCUUCUGGUGAAGAAAGAAUUUCGGUCAAGGAUGAGCUCGCGGCCUAUCAGCUUGUUGGUGAGGUGACGGCUCACCAAGGCGACGACGGGUAGCCGGCCUGAGAGGGUGACCGGCCACACUGGGACUGAGACACGGCCCAGGCUCCUACGGGAGGCAGCAGUGGGGAAUAUUGCACAAUGGGCGCAAGCCUGAUGCAGCAACUCCGCGUGAGGGAUGAAGGCCUUCGGGUUGUAAACCUCUUUUAGCAGGGAAGAAGCGAAAGUGACGGUACCUGCAGAAAAAGCACCGGCUAACUACGUGCCAGCCGCCGCAGUAA
This 484-nucleotide ribosomal RNA is filed under the name uncultured bacterium. RNAcentral describes it as "partial 16S ribosomal RNA". It matches the Rfam family "Bacterial small subunit ribosomal RNA", at positions 28 to 523 of the family's 1533-position model. The record is from RNAcentral.